Molecule: non-coding RNA, 199 nt
Filed under: Tiarina fusus
Lineage: Eukaryota; Ciliophora; Prostomatea; Prorodontida; Colepidae
Source: RNAcentral
UCUUCUCAUUUAUCUUUAUCUUUGUUUUUUUGCCUUUUUUUUUCGUGAACCAGUUCGCGACUUCAUAAAAUCAGAAAGAUCUCUAAUUCGAUCUGAAGUUCUAGAUUUAACUAGCACAGGUUCAUCAGCUGCUGCACUGAUUUCUUCCUUGCUGACGCUUUUUGUAAUUUUAUCUUUGGAGAAUUUUCCAACAGAAAGA